UGCCAGCCGCCGCGGUAAUACGGAGGGGGUUAGCGUUGUUCGGAAUUACUGGGCGUAAAGCGUACGUAGGCGGAUUAAUAAGUUAGAGGUGAAAUAUCUUAGCUUAACUAAGAAAGUGCAUUCAAAACUGUUAGAAUAGAGUUUGAGAGAGGAACGCAGAAUUCAUGGUGGAGCGGUGACAUGCGUAGAUAUCAUGAGGAAAGUCAAAUGCGAAGGCAGCCUUCUGGCUCAAAACUGACGCUGAGGUACGAAAGCGUGGGGAGCGAACAGGAUUAGAUA
This 279-nucleotide ribosomal RNA is filed under the name uncultured bacterium. Its description in RNAcentral is "partial 16S ribosomal RNA". It matches the Rfam family "Bacterial small subunit ribosomal RNA", at positions 506 to 784 of the family's 1533-position model. The record is from RNAcentral.